CCAAGCGAUGGGGUGACGCAGGAAGGUAGCUGGGCCAGUCAGUGGUUGUACUGGUGUAAGAGUGUAGGCCGUGACAUAGGCAAAUCCGUGUCACAUUAAGGCUGAGACUUGAUGCAUACCCGUUGUGGGGAAUUCAGUGAUCCUAUGCUGCCGAGAAAAGCCUCUAGUGAGUUCAUACACGGCCCGUACCCCAAACCGACACAGGUGAUCAGGUAGAGAAUACCAAGGCGAUCGAGAGAACUGUGGUUAAGGAACUCGGCAAAAUGCCCCCGUAACUUCGGGAGAAGGGGGACCAUGCCCGGUGAACAUCUUCACGGUGGGAGCUGGGUGUGGUCGCAGAGACCAGAGAGAAGCGACUGUUUACUAAAAACACAGGUCCGUGCGAAGACGUAAGUCGAUGUAUACGGACUGACGCCUGCCCGGUGCUGGAAGGUUAAGAGGACCGGUUAGCCGUAAGGCGAAGCUGAGAAUUUAAGCCCCAGUAAACGGCGGUGGUAACAUAACCAUCCUAAGGUAGCGAAAUUCCUUGUCGGGUAAGUUCCGACCUGCACGAAUGGCGUAACGACUUCUCUGCUGUCUCGACCACAGACUCGGCGAAAUUGCACUACGAGUAAAGAUGCUCGUUACGCGCGGCAGGACGAAAAGACCCCGGGACCUUUACUAUAGCUUGGUAUUGGCGUUCGAUUCGGUUUGUGUAGGAUAGGUGGGAGACUGUGAAGCAUGCACGCCAGUGUGUGUGGAGUCGUUGUUGAAAUACCACUCUGAUCGUAUUGGACGUCUAACCUCGGCCCAUGAUCUGGGUUAGGGACAGUGCGUGGUGGGUAGUUUAACUGGGGCGGUUGCCUCCUAAAGAGUAACGGAGGCGCCCAAAGGUUCCCUCAGCCUGGAUGGCAAUCAGGUGUUGAGUGCAAGUGCACAAGGGAGCUUGACUGUGAGACUGACACGUCGAGCAGGGACGAAAGUCGGGACUAGUGAUCCGGCACCGGCAAGUGGAAGCGGUGUCGCUCAACGGAUAAAAGGUACCCCGGGGAUAACAGGCCGAUCUUCCCCAAGAGUCCAUAUCGACGGGAUGGUUUGGCACCUCGAUGUCGGCUCGUCGCAUCCUGGGGCUGGAGUAGGUCCCAAGGGUUGGGCUGUUCGCCCAUUAAAGCGGCACGCGAGCUGGGUUUAGAACGUCGUGAGACAGUUCGGUCUCUAUCCGCCGCGCGCGUAAGAAACUUGAGGAAGGCUGUCCCUAGUACGAGAGGACCGGGACGGACGAACCUCUGGUGUGCCAGUUGUUCCACCAGGAGCAUGGCUGGUUAGCUACGUUCGGAAGGGAUAACCGCUGAAAGCAUCUAAGCGGGAAGCCUGUUCCAAGAUGAGGUUUCUCACCACCUUGCGUGGUUAAGGCCCCCUACAGACCAUGGGGUUGAUAGGCCGGAACUGGAAGCGCAGCAAUGCGUGGAGGUGACCGGUACUAAUAGGCCGAGGGCUUAC
Molecule: ribosomal RNA, 1479 nt
Filed under: metagenome
Description: bacterial LSU rRNA
Rfam family: Bacterial large subunit ribosomal RNA
Source: RNAcentral